ACUCCUACGGGAGGCAGCAGUAGGGAAUAUUGCACAAUGGGCGAAAGCCUGAUGCAGCAACGCCGCGUGCGCGAAGAAGGCCUUCGGGUUGUAAAGCGCUUUUCGGGGAGAAGAGAAAGGACGGUAUCCCCGGAAUAAGGAUCGGCUAACUACGUGCCAGCAGCCGCGGUAAAACGUAGGAUCCGAGCGUUAUCCGAAUUCACUGGGCGUAAAGCGCGUGUAGGCGGUUCGGUAAGUUGGAUGUGAAAGCUCCCGGCUCAACUGGGAGAGGACGUUCAAAACUGUUGGACUAGAGGGCGGAAGAGGGAGGUGGAAUUCCCGGUGUAGUGGUGAAAUGCGUAGAUAUCGGGAGGAACACCAGUGGCGAAGGCGGCCUCCUGGGCCGCACCUGACGCUCAGACGCGAAAGCUAGGGUAGCAAACGGGAUUAGAAACCCCGGUAGUCCUAGCCGUAAACGAUGUAGACUUGGUGUUGGUGGGGUAAAAGCCAUCAGUGCCGGAGCAAACGCGAUAAGUCUACCGCCUGGGGACUACGACCGCAAGGUUAAAACUCAAAGGAAUUGACGGGGACCCGCACAAGCAGCGGAGCGUGUGGUUUAAUUCGAUGCAACGCGAAGAACCUUACCCGGGCUUGACAUGCGAGUGUAGGGAAGUGAAAGCGGACCGACCCUUCGGGGAGUUCGCACAGGUGCUGCAUGGCUGUCGUCAGCUCGUGCCGUGAGGUGUCCGGUUAAGUCCGGUAACGAGCGCAACCCUUGCUGUAUGUUAUAAGUGUCAUACGGGACUGCCGGUAUAAAGCCGGAGGAAGGUGGGGAUGACGUCAAGUCAGCAUGGCCUUUAUGUCCGGGGCUACACACACGCUACAAUGGUCAGUACAAUAGGUUGCAAAACUGCGAAGUGGANCCAAUCCAUAAAGCUGGCCACAGUUCANAUUGCAGGCUGCAACUCNCCUGCAUGAANUC
RNAcentral lists this ribosomal RNA (961 nucleotides) under uncultured bacterium. RNAcentral's name for it is "bacterial SSU rRNA". It matches the Rfam family "Bacterial small subunit ribosomal RNA", at positions 335 to 1327 of the family's 1533-position model. The record is from RNAcentral.